RNAcentral lists this RNase P RNA (376 nucleotides) under Escherichia coli. RNAcentral's name for it is "RNase P RNA component class A". It matches the Rfam family "Bacterial RNase P class A". From Rfam's summary of the family: Ribonuclease P (RNase P) is a ubiquitous endoribonuclease, found in archaea, bacteria and eukarya as well as chloroplasts and mitochondria. Its best characterised activity is the generation of mature 5'-ends of tRNAs by cleaving the 5'-leader elements of precursor-tRNAs. The record is from RNAcentral. Lineage: Bacteria; Pseudomonadati; Pseudomonadota; Gammaproteobacteria; Enterobacterales; Enterobacteriaceae.
GAAGCUGACCAGACAGUCGCCGCUUCGUCGUCGUCCUCUUCGGGGGAGACGGGCGGAGGGGAGGAAAGUCCGGGCUCCAUAGGGCAGGGUGCCAGGUAACGCCGGGGGGGAAACCCACGACCAGUGCAACAGAGAGCAAACCGCCGAUGGCCCGCGUAAGCGGGAUCAGGUAAGGGUGAAAGGGUGCGGUAAGAGCGCACCGCGCGGCUGGUAACAGUCCGUGGCACGGUAAACUCCACCCGGAGCAAGGCCAAAUAGGGGUUCAUAAGGUACGGCCCGUACUGAACCCGGGUAGGCUGCUUGAGCCAGUGAGCGAUUGCUGGCCUAGAUGAAUGACUGUCCACGACAGAACCCGGCUUAUCGGUCAGUUUCACCU